AGAGAGAGAGAGAGAGAGAGAGAGAGAGAGAGAGAGAGGAGAAACAGAAGGGGGAAGGAAAAAGAUCUCUAUUAAUUCUGCUUUCAUGGAAUCGGGUGAGCAGCUUAAUCUAACCCAGCAUCAGUCUUUAGUUCCUCAUUGCAAGGUUGGGGUCGCGUGCCUGCACCACAGAAGUGGGUUGGUACUGGAAGAACCGUGUAAAGAACACUGUGUGAGAAUCCUGCAGCAGCGACUGCCUCCAGAAGAAGCUGCCUAGGAGGAUGGAGGUGAGGUCAGCUCAUGGCAACUGGGAGCGGGAAAGACUGCAGAAGGGAAACCCCAAGAGCAGAAUGGUGCCAGGUGCUUCCUACCGGAGAAGACACAAUGGAGGGGCCAGAAGCUCAGAAAUGGGAGAGCAGAUGUGCCUAAUUUUUUUGGAGAAAUGUUGAGUACUGAGUGUCGCGACCUCUCUCUCCCAGCUGAAGUUAUCAGGAAAGCAACUCUCCGAGUCCCAGUUUGCUCGGUCACUGAUUUAACUAAUUAAUUAUGUGUGGACGCUGAAAAGGUGGCUGAGAUCUGAUGCAAGGGUUCUGAACAGUGUGCUCCCACGGGUGAUAAGGGUUGUCAGUGGUCGCUGUCAUCACGUCACAGAUGGAUGACGGAUAAGCAAACCACAGUGAAUGCUAAGGGCCUCGAAAGCAUUUAAAUGUCUGGGUUACAGAAACCGAGGUGUGUGCAGAUCUGAGCUGAGGAGCCUUUACGUCAUUAAAAGACAGUCUGAGAAGAGGAACCUGUUUGUCUUCUACAACUGUGCUACUCCCAAGAGUUCCCUGUAAGCUGUGAAUAAACCAAGGCCGACGCCUUCUUCCAAGUUCCUGAUGCGGGACUGAUUUCCCGGUGCAUCCGACGCCAACACGCUCUUUGCUGGGCUGCUCUUUCGCCUCCUCUCCAUCUCCUCGCUUUUGCUAUGUGCUGUGGACUUUCCUUUCUGUUUUUCAGGUCUCUCCCCAUUCCUGACUCCUGCUUCUCUCUCUUUAGUACCUGACCCCCAGAAAGCCGUCUCUGGAGAAAGGACUUGCUUCUAGGAACAGAACAGCAGGAGCUGGGAUGCAAUGACCCAGAGGAGGGCUGCAAGGCCCUAAGAUGUAGAAACACUGGACAGAAGGAGUCCAGGCCCCUGAAUGACAUGGAAGAAUAGAGCCCCAGUGUUGUCUGCCCUGUCCCCUACUUUGUGACUUAACUAGCAAUGAGUUUGUAUUCUCUAAAAUCGCUGAAAUAGUGAGGUUGUUUGUUACGGCAAUCACUUUCCCUUGGUUGACUCACCCAUUAAAAUUGAAAAGUGCUAAUGAAAAGACUCCAUUUGACCUUGAAGAACGGGCAGGAUAGUGCACGCAAUUUCCUAAUAAUU
Molecule: non-coding RNA, 1387 nt
Organism: Myodes glareolus (Bank vole)
Lineage: Eukaryota; Metazoa; Chordata; Mammalia; Rodentia; Cricetidae
Source: RefSeq, a predicted model, not a curated record